This 86-nucleotide transfer RNA is filed under the name Nadsonia fulvescens var. elongata DSM 6958. It matches the Rfam family "tRNA". From Rfam's summary of the family: Transfer RNA (tRNA) molecules are approximately 80 nucleotides in length. Their secondary structure includes four short double-helical elements and three loops (D, anti-codon, and T loops). Lineage: Eukaryota; Fungi; Ascomycota; Dipodascomycetes; Dipodascales. The record is from Rfam by way of RNAcentral.
GGCCCGAUGGUUUAGUGGUAUAAUUCUCGCUUAGGGUUUUCUACCUGGACUGCGAGAGGUCCCGGGUUCAAUUCCCGGUUGGGCCC